Molecule: ribosomal RNA, 490 nt
Filed under: uncultured bacterium
Lineage: Bacteria
Description: partial 16S ribosomal RNA
Rfam family: Bacterial small subunit ribosomal RNA
Source: RNAcentral
AAUGAACGCUGGCGGCAUGCCUUACACAUGCAAGUCGAACGGCAGCAUGACCUAGCUUGCUAGGUUGAUGACGAGUGGCGAACGGGUGAGUAAUGCAUCGGAACGUGCCUUUUAGUGGGGGAUAACGUAGCGAAAGUUACGCUAAUACCGCAUAUUCUCUGAGGAGGAAAGCAGGGGACCUUCGGGCCUUGCGCUAGAAGAGCGGCCGAUGUCGGAUUAGCUAGUUGGUGAGGUAAAGGCUCACCAAGGCAACGAUCCGUAGCGGGUCUGAGAGGAUGAUCCGCCACACUGGGACUGAGACACGGCCCAGACUCCUACGGGAGGCAGCAGUGGGGAAUUUUGGACAAUGGGCGCAAGCCUGAUCCAGCCAUGCCGCGUGAGUGAAGAAGGCCUUCGGGUUGUAAAGCUCUUUCGGCUGGGAAGAAAUCGCACCCUCUAAUACAGGGUGUGGAUGACGGUACCAGCAUAAGAAGCACCGGCUAACUACGUG